UCGGGAAUAUUGCGCAAUGGAGGAAACUCUGACGCAGUGACGCCGCGUGCAGGAAGAAGGUUUUCGGAUUGUAAACUGCUUUAGACAGGGAAGAUAACGACAGUACCUGUAGAAUAAGCUCCGGCUAACUACGUGCCAGCAGCCGCGGUAAUACGUAGGGAGCAAGCGUUAUCCGGAUUUAUUGGGUGUAAAGGGUGCGUAGACGGGAAGGCAAGUUAGUUGUGAAAUCCCUCGGCUUAACUGAGGAACUGCAACUAAAACUAUCUUUCUUGAGUGUUGGAGAGGAAAGUGGAAUUCCUAGUGUAGCGGUGAAAUGCGUAGAUAUUAGGAGGAACACCAGUGGCGAAGGCGACUUUCUGGACAAUAACUGACGUUGGGGCACGAAAGUGUGGGGAGCAAACAGGAUUAGAUACC
RNAcentral lists this ribosomal RNA (414 nucleotides) under uncultured bacterium. Its description in RNAcentral is "bacterial SSU rRNA". It matches the Rfam family "Bacterial small subunit ribosomal RNA", at positions 355 to 786 of the family's 1533-position model. The record is from RNAcentral.